RNAcentral lists this small RNA (94 nucleotides) under Polaribacter sp. KT25b. Its description in RNAcentral is "Flavo-1 RNA". It matches the Rfam family "Flavo-1 RNA". Lineage: Bacteria; Pseudomonadati; Bacteroidota; Flavobacteriia; Flavobacteriales; Flavobacteriaceae. The record is from Rfam by way of RNAcentral.
AAUUAGCUACCAAGUAUGCUGCGUGAGCGAUAGAAACGGCAUCCUUUUUAUGCUUUUUCUGCAUAAAAAGAUAUAGUGGAAAGCGCGGUUUUUG